RNAcentral lists this transfer RNA (73 nucleotides) under Daphnia pulex (common water flea). RNAcentral's name for it is "tRNA-Tyr". It matches the Rfam family "tRNA". From Rfam's summary of the family: Transfer RNA (tRNA) molecules are approximately 80 nucleotides in length. Their secondary structure includes four short double-helical elements and three loops (D, anti-codon, and T loops). RNAcentral also lists the same sequence under 3 other names. The record is from RNAcentral. Lineage: Eukaryota; Metazoa; Arthropoda; Branchiopoda; Diplostraca; Daphniidae.
CCGUCGAUAGCUCAGUUGGUAGAGCGGUGGACUGUAGAUCCAUAGGUCGCUGGUUCAACUCCGGCUCGACGGA